GAGUUUGAUCAUGGCUCAGGAUGAACGCUGGCGGCGUGCUUAACACAUGCAAGUCGAACGAAGCAGCUUCUGCUGCAAGAAAGCUGACUUAGUGGCGGACGGGUGAGUAACGCGUGGGUAACCUGCCUCAUACAGGGGGAUAACAGUUGGAAACGACUGCUAAGACCGCAUAACCCGCUAGUGUCGCAUGACACGGACGGAAAAAUAUUUAAUUUUAACGAGUUAAAAUUUGGUAUGAGAUGGGCCCGCGUCUGAUUAGCUAGUUGGUAAGGUAACGGCUUACCAAGGCGACGAUCAGUAGCCGACUUGAGAGAGUGAUCGGCCACAUUGGGACUGAGACACGGCCCAAACUCCUACGGGAGGCAGCAGUGGGGAAUAUUGGACAAUGGGGGAAACCCUGAUCCAGCCGACGCCGCGUGAGUGAAGAAGUAUUUCGGUAUGUAAAGCUCUAUCAGCAGGGAAGAUAAUGACAGUACCUGACUAAGAAGCCCCGGCUAACUACGUGCCAGCCGCGGC
This 516-nucleotide ribosomal RNA is filed under the name uncultured bacterium. RNAcentral's name for it is "bacterial SSU rRNA". It matches the Rfam family "Bacterial small subunit ribosomal RNA", at positions 9 to 518 of the family's 1533-position model. The record is from RNAcentral.